UACGAAGGUCCCGAGCGUUGUUCGGAAUCACUGGGCGUAAAGGGAGCGUAGGCGGCGCGGUAAGUCAGAUGUGAAAUCCCGGGCUCAACCCGGAACUGCAUCCGAUACUGCCGUGCUAGAGGAUUGGAGAGGUAGCUGGAAUUCUUGGUGUAGCAGUGAAAUGCGUGGAGAUCAAGAGGAACACUCGUGGCGAAAGCGAGCUACUGGACAAUAUCUGACGCUGAGGCUCGAAGGCCAGGGUAGCGAAAGGG
RNAcentral lists this ribosomal RNA (251 nucleotides) under uncultured bacterium. RNAcentral's name for it is "partial 16S ribosomal RNA". It matches the Rfam family "Bacterial small subunit ribosomal RNA", at positions 524 to 776 of the family's 1533-position model. The record is from RNAcentral.